UACGUAGGGUGCGAGCGUUGUCCGGAAUUAUUGGGCGUAAAGGGCUCGUAGGCGGUCUGUCGCGUCGGGUGUGAAAACUCAGGGCUUAACCCUGAGCCUGCUUCCGAUACGGGCAGACUAGAGGUAUGCAGGGGAGAACGGAAUUCCUGGUGUAGCGGUGAAAUGCGCAGAUAUCAGGAGGAACACCGGUGGCGAAGGCGGGUCUCUGGGCCGAUACUGACGCUGAGGAGCGAAAGCGUGGGGAGCGAACAGG
Molecule: ribosomal RNA, 253 nt
Filed under: uncultured bacterium
Lineage: Bacteria
Description: partial 16S ribosomal RNA
Rfam family: Bacterial small subunit ribosomal RNA
Source: RNAcentral